CCCUGACCCAGGGGCAGCGACGUGGGAUCCUCCACUCAGGCCCACAGCCCAAGAUUCCGUAGUCCAAGAUUCCAGAAGAAGAAUCCAGGAUGGGAAGGGUGGGGUCAGAGGGAGAAUGCUGAAAGAAGGUUCUGGAAGGUUCGGGGUGUCCCCCUUGGCCGGCUCGCUCUCCACGUGCUCUUGGGGCCCAACGACUCGUCCUUCCCCUGAUGUCUUCUCUGGGGCUGGAUGUGUCUUCACAAGCCGCCAACCUGCAAGUCCAAACUCGACUGUGACUUCGCUGUGGGCCCAAGUGUCAGCAGUCGAUCUGUUAUCAGUUGAUGGCGGGCUCGUUUCUCAGAAGCCAGGCGCGCGCGCACGCACGUGCCGGAGCCCCAUUCUCUGGUGUGGAUCAUCUCUGCAUCCGUUCUGGAAUAAUACUUUCAGGAGCACUGUUUCCAUUCGCAGUGAGUCGUGACCGUGCCUGUGUCUCAGUCCUCGUGCUUUUUCCUGAGCGAUGCCUCGCAUUCCGAAGACGCGCAGGUUGUAACAGAAUGAGGGUAGGAUUCGAGAACCGUCCGGACCUGAGCAACCCCCACCCCCACCGAGUUACCCUGAGCCCCAGAGACAGCCAGCCCCCCUCCGCCCGCCCUGCCUGGGACAGCGCUGCCAGUCUGGGCGUCCCGUGGCCACCGUGUCAUGUGUCCCGGGAGUGGAGAGGGGCGGCCAGCAGGCUGAGUCGGCGGACCUUCGCCCUCCUGCAGGGAACAACUCUGGUGACUGAAAAGUAACCCCGUGUACCCACCGUGCUUGUGGGCAUUGAAACCCCCAGGCUCUCUGCCAGGGUCAGCGUGUUGGGGACUUUGGGCCGGUUUUGUACACGGUGAACAUCAGUCCGGGGGCCGCUUUGGUUUCAUGUUGUUUUGUGGGAAGAUUUUGGUUUUGAGGUGAUCUCCACGCCCGGCGUGGGGCUGGAACUCCCCACCCAGAGAUCCGGGGUCCCAAGCUUCAGGGAGCCAGCCAGGCGCCCCGCGGGGCUGCUUUGGUUUUGUAAGUGAACCUUCCAAGGAGGAGAAAGACACUGCUCAAAUCUGACUCUUUCUUAAGCGGUGAAUCCACUGGAAACUUACACUUCUAUUUCUGGAUGGAAUACAUUUCCCCAACCCCAUCACCGCUGAGGGAAGCAUUUUCUGUCAUGCUUGCUUCCAUUGAUAAACUGAGUUCGUUAAACUCUCUUACGUAUUUUCAGCCGCAUGUGGGAUUUACCGUGUUUUUUGUUUUGAAGUUUAUUUAUUUAUUUUGAGAGAUGGAGAAAGAGAGAGGGAGGCACGGAGAGAAAGAGGGACACAGUGAAUCCCAAGCACUGUCCCUGAGGAGCUCGGUGUGGGGCUGGAACCCAUGAACCUUGAGAUCGUAACCUGAGCCGAAAUCCAGAGUUGGGUGCUUAACUGACUGAGCCAGCCAGGUGCCCCCCACCACGUAUUAAAUUUGAAGUGUUUCCCAUUGUCCACUCAGUUCUUCCAAGUAAUAACGGGUCAUUUCCAAGUAAUAAGGGGUCCGUUUCCACGCCUGAGGUGGGAGUCCAGUGACCUGUUCUUUCCACUUUUCCUUCUUUCCUCCCCUCUCUCCCUUCACCUCCCCUCCCCUCCCCUCCCUUCCCUUUGCUCUCCUUCCUCGGCUGAGGGAUUGGGCCAUCAGGUGGGGGGACAGGUGCUGCCUCUUGGUGGGGGGAGGGAUGGGGCAGGAUAGCAGCUGGCCGAGGGGAGGGGACGCUCUUCCAGCUGCUGUCGUGUCAGAGGGAGUGAGUGAGGAGGGCGCUCAGAAGGGGGUGGUCCUCAGGACCUAGAGUGGGGGUGAGGGGAGAGGGGCGGCUGGACCUUGGGAACCCAGCCCCAGCAGGGGAGUCGGUGGCGGUGUCUGUGCUGGGGAGGAAAGGGUCCCUGCAGGAGUGACUGCAGGGUGGGUUUCCACCACAGAAGGCGAGUCUCUUCUGUGACAUUCAGAGGGAAGAGUUCUAGUGUGGAAAGGGGAAAAUGACCAUGAACCUGACUGGUGGUAUUUCAUGAGGGGUUUUGGAGGGUGGGGGUGGGGUGGGGGGUUUGCGUCUCCUUAACAUCUUUUUCAUUACGUUAAAAUAUAAAAAUAUGGGUGACUCAGUCGGUUGAGCGUCAGACACUUGGUUUCUGUUCAGGUCAUAUCUAGGGUCAUGGGAUCGAGCCUCGGUGCUGAGCACGGAGCCUGCUUGAGAUGUUCUCUGUCUCUCCCUCUGCCCUCUCCCCUGCUUGUGCGCUCUCUCUAAAGUAAAUAAAAUAAAAUAUAUA
Long non-coding RNA from Neofelis nebulosa (Clouded leopard), 2300 nucleotides. RefSeq lists it as uncharacterized. The record is from RefSeq and is a predicted model, not a curated record. NCBI's taxonomy places the organism in Eukaryota, Metazoa, Chordata, Mammalia, Carnivora, Felidae. The transcript has 2 exons.